This is a long non-coding RNA of Ictalurus punctatus (channel catfish), 612 nucleotides long. The record is from Ensembl. Lineage: Eukaryota; Metazoa; Chordata; Actinopteri; Siluriformes; Ictaluridae.
AGGGACUGCUCUAGCAUUAUCCGCCCGGCCCAGUCAAACUCUUCACCUAAUUACGGAAACUCUCAAUGAAGGAGGUUAUUUUUAGCUGUUUAACUACCGCCUGGCGCUGCUGCAGCUCUGCGGCUCGUCGAGGCGGAGACACCGAGACAGAUCCGUGUUCUCACGCUCUGUGCUGGAACGGAGAACUUUUUAAGGUGCCCCAGAACUCGCCGGAGGGUCUUUUGAUGAUUUUCUCUUUCUGUGCAGGAUUCCUCCCCGUGACCACGCCAUCCGUCCGGAGGUACAGCCCUGAGAAACUGACACCCAGUGGACACGCCUCCUUCGCUGAAACUGACGCCCAGUGGACACGCCUCCUUCGCUGAAACUGACGCCCAGUGGACACGCCUCCUUCGCUGAAACUGACGCCCAGUGGACACGCCUCCUUCGCUGAAACUGACGCCCAGUGGACACGCCUCCUUCGCUGAAACUGACGCCCAGUGGACACGCCUCCUUCGCGAAACUGACGCCCAGUGGACACGCCUCCUUCGCUGAAACUGACGCCCAGUGGACACGCCUCCUUCAUAGGCGGAGUUUAGUUGUACCAGUUACAGUGCCUUGCAGAAGUUUUCACCC